UACGUAGGGUGCAAGCGUUAUCCGGAAUUAUUGGGCGUAAAGAGCUCGUAGGCGGUCUGUCGCGUCUGCUGUGAAAUCUGGGGGCUCAACCCCCAGCCUGCAGUGGGUACGGGCAGACUAGAGUGCGGUAGGGGGAGAUUGGAACUCCUGGUGUAGCGGUGGAAUGCGCAGAUAUCAGGAAGAACACCGAUGGCGAAGGCAGAUCUCUGGGCCGUAACUGGACGCUGGAGGAGCGGAAAAGCAUGGGGGAGCGAACAGG
RNAcentral lists this ribosomal RNA (259 nucleotides) under uncultured bacterium. RNAcentral's name for it is "partial 16S ribosomal RNA". It matches the Rfam family "Bacterial small subunit ribosomal RNA", at positions 524 to 776 of the family's 1533-position model. The record is from RNAcentral.